AGUGAACGCUGGCGGUAGGCCUAACACAUGCAAGUCGAACGGCAGCACAGUAAGAGCUUGCUCUUACGGGUGGCGAGUGGCGGACGGGUGAGGAAUACAUCGGAAUCUACUUUUUCGUGGGGGAUAACGUAGGGAAACUUACGCUAAUACCGCAUACGACCUACGGGUGAAAGCAGGGGAUCUUCGGGCCUUGCGCGAUUGAAUGAGCCGAUGUCGGAUUAGCUAGUUGGCGGGGUAAAGGCCCACCAAGGCGACGAUCGGUAGCUGGUCUGAGAGGAUGAUCAGCCACACUGGAACUGAGACACGGUCCAGACUCCUACGGGAGGCAGCAGUGGGGAAUAUUGGACAAUGGGCGCAAGCCUGAUCCAGCCAUACCGCGUGGGUGAAGAAGGCCUUCGGGUUGUAAAGCCCUUUUGUUGGGAAAGAAAAGCAGCAGGUUAAUACCCCGCUGUUCUGACGGUACCCAAAGAAUAAGCACCGGCUAACUUCGUG
This 492-nucleotide ribosomal RNA is filed under the name uncultured bacterium. Its description in RNAcentral is "partial 16S ribosomal RNA". It matches the Rfam family "Bacterial small subunit ribosomal RNA", at positions 29 to 507 of the family's 1533-position model. The record is from RNAcentral.